UACAGAGGAUGCAAGCGUUAUCCGGAAUGAUUGGGCGUAAAGCGUCUGUAGGUGGCUUUUUAAGUCCGCCGUCAAAUCCCAGGGCUCAACUCUGGACAGGCGGUGGAAACUACCAAGCUGGAGUACGGUAGGGGCAGAGGGAAUUUCCGGUGGAGCGGUGAAAUGCGUAGAUAUCAGGAGGAACACCAAUGGCGAAGGCAGCUCGCUGGGACGGUACUGACGCUGAGACGCGAAAGCGUGGGGAGCAAACAGG
RNAcentral lists this ribosomal RNA (253 nucleotides) under uncultured bacterium. RNAcentral describes it as "partial 16S ribosomal RNA". It matches the Rfam family "Bacterial small subunit ribosomal RNA", at positions 524 to 776 of the family's 1533-position model. The record is from RNAcentral.